CGCCAGACUGUUGAGAAGCCGUUUCUGGAGUGAGCUCGCGGGGCCGCGCCGUGGGGAGUGUCGCGGUGCAGGCCUGAGUGCGGGGGACACGGCGGGGUCUCGCGGGGACGUGAAACCACCCAGAGCGCAGGACUUAGUAAUGACCAAGACCUGCUCACCUGUGGAGCAGAACAAAGAAGCCUGGAAGGAGGAGAGGGAGGAAGCAGUAUCAAAGGAUCCAGAAUGAUUUUUGCUUUCUAUUUUGAUCCCUUGAUAUUAAAAAGCCACAAGCCAGCUAUUCAUUGUUCAUGAAGGAAAAAAAAUCAAAGAAGAGAAACAGCAGGAAAUGGAUAAUUCUCCAUUAAGCAUGUUCCAGGUCAGUGGUCAUGUCCUGUCUUUUCCUAAAUAUUUUAUAGUUUGAUUGCAAGCCUUUAAGUUUCUGAUUCUGAUUUUUUUUUUAAGUUGUGUUUUGAAAAUUGGAAACAAGCAAAAUCACACACUGCGACUAACCAGAUACAGAGACUAUAUAACUCAGUAUACUUUUAUGCAGUUUUAUAGUAGUCAUUGG
Molecule: long non-coding RNA, 547 nt
Filed under: Meriones unguiculatus (Mongolian gerbil)
Lineage: Eukaryota; Metazoa; Chordata; Mammalia; Rodentia; Muridae
Description: lncRNA (ENSMUGG00000008014.1)
Source: RNAcentral